Molecule: long non-coding RNA, 838 nt
Organism: Carya illinoinensis
Lineage: Eukaryota; Viridiplantae; Streptophyta; Magnoliopsida; Fagales; Juglandaceae
Exons: 4
Source: RefSeq, a predicted model, not a curated record
CAUCUUCCCUCACUCCUGUAGGUUUCCAAAGCAAGAAGAGAAAACUUAAUCUUCUCUCCAAGACGCCCUAGCCAAUGCCCCACCUUCCUCUCUUCUUCUCCUCCCUUAUCAACUUCAAGAAACUAAGUUCCUCUCAUCUCCUUCAAGCUUUGUGACUCCAUAGUAAGGGGAGAAGAAAAAACAUUUUCCUUUCACCUUCUCCAAGCCACACGGGUUCAACAUAUUCCUACCCAUUUCCGAUUUUUGUUCAAAGCUUAAAUCCAAAGCUUGUUUUCAUCUUCCAAAGGGUGAAAUAUUGAAGGGGUAACAUAGUGUUAUCACUUUGUUCUUCAUCUACACGGCUAUACUACCAAUUGGUCCUUCACUUUGCAUCUUGAAAGGAGUUAAGGGCUUAAGGACCUAUUGUGAAGUUCGAAGUAUUGAGGUGCAUUGAGGUAAUGAUGAAAAGGCUGGGGAGCAGGGCAUUACAGCAGAGGGAGAGGCAGACACUUAGUGUCUUCCUUGUUAGUUCGACCUUACAUGGAUGAUGGGUUAUGCUUAUGGAUGAAUGUUUAAAUAGAAUGUCUAUCAGAUGUUGCCCUUUAUUAAAUUAGAAUUUUAGAGUACAUGUGUGAUAUGUUCAGGCUUAUCACAUAUUACUAGAAAAGAAAAGAAAUAAGAGAGAGAGAGAGAGAGAGAGAGAGAGAGAGAGAAUAGGUUAAGUAAUGAUUCCACCCUUCCUAGGGCGGGGCUGUUACACAUGUUUAAGACUAAGAGGUUUCAGCCAUGACCAUGGAUGAAGGGUUAGCAUGUUGUGACUAAAGUCUUGAAGGUAUGAAAUUAAUUUUCUUGCAUGCUA